This is a long non-coding RNA of Grammomys surdaster, 181 nucleotides long. RefSeq lists it as uncharacterized. Lineage: Eukaryota; Metazoa; Chordata; Mammalia; Rodentia; Muridae. The record is from RefSeq and is a predicted model, not a curated record. The transcript is spliced from 3 exons.
UGUAGACUAGGCUGGAGUAGAACUCAGAGGGAGCUUCAGCUGCCUCCUGUGCUAUAGUGGAUACACCCAUGUCCCACAGGGUGAUAUAUUUAAAACGAGAUGUGGUGGACAAUCGGUUACAUUUACUACUAUUGAUACAAAACAAGAAUCGCCAAAUGGCAGUCAGAAAUGAAGAUCGUCC